GGUAAGAUGGCUGAAUUUAUAGGCGAUAGACUGUAAAUCUAUAUAUGGGAAAACCCUCUUACCA
Molecule: transfer RNA, 64 nt
Filed under: Ceracris nigricornis nigricornis
Lineage: Eukaryota; Metazoa; Arthropoda; Insecta; Orthoptera; Acrididae
Description: tRNA-Tyr
Rfam family: tRNA
About the family: Transfer RNA (tRNA) molecules are approximately 80 nucleotides in length. Their secondary structure includes four short double-helical elements and three loops (D, anti-codon, and T loops). Further hydrogen bonds mediate the characteristic L-shaped molecular structure. tRNAs have two regions of fundamental functional importance: the anti-codon, which is responsible for specific mRNA codon recognition, and the 3' end, to which the tRNAs corresponding amino acid is attached (by aminoacyl-tRNA synthetases). tRNAs cope with the degeneracy of the genetic code in two manners: having more than one tRNA (with a specific anti-codon) for a particular amino acid; and 'wobble' base-pairing, i.e. permitting non-standard base-pairing at the 3rd anti-codon position.
Source: RNAcentral